Molecule: ribosomal RNA, 492 nt
Filed under: uncultured bacterium
Lineage: Bacteria
Description: partial 16S ribosomal RNA
Rfam family: Bacterial small subunit ribosomal RNA
Source: RNAcentral
AGUGAACGCUGGCGGUAGGCCUAACACAUGCAAGUCGAACGGCAGCACAGUAAGAGCUUGCUCUUACGGGUGGCGAGUGGCGGACGGGUGAGGAAUACAUCGGAAUCUACUUUUUCGUGGGGGAUAACGUAGGGAAACUUACGCUAAUACCGCAUACGACCUACGGGUGAAAGCAGGGGAUCUUCGGACCUUGCGCGAUUGACUGAGCCGAUGUCGGAUUAGCUAGUUGGCGGGGUAAAGGCCCACCAAGGCGACGAUCCGUAGCUGGUCUGAGAGGAUGAUCAGCCACACUGGAACUGAGACACGGUCCAGACUCCUACGGGAGGCAGCAGUGGGGAAUAUUGGACAAUGGGCGCAAGCCUGAUCCAGCCAUACCGCGUGGGUGAAGAAGGCCUUCGGGUUGUAAAGCCCUUUUGUUGGGAAAGAAGAGCAGCAGGUUAAUACCCCGCUGUUCUGACGGUACCCAAAGAAUAAGCACCGGCUAACUUCGUG